AAGAAAGUGACAGAGUGGUUAUGUGACUGGCUUGAGACCAGUACAUGAGGAUUCAAUUCCUUCCUCUCUCG
RNAcentral lists this transfer RNA (71 nucleotides) under Platysmacheilus longibarbatus. RNAcentral's name for it is "tRNA-Ser". It matches the Rfam family "tRNA". Rfam says of the family: Transfer RNA (tRNA) molecules are approximately 80 nucleotides in length. The record is from RNAcentral. Lineage: Eukaryota; Metazoa; Chordata; Actinopteri; Cypriniformes; Gobionidae.